AGGUUAAGUUAAUAAGGGCGCACGGUGGAUGCCUUGGCACUAGAAGCCGAAGAAGGACGUGACUAACGACGAAAUGCUUUGGGGAGCUGUAAGUAAGCGCUGAUCCAGAGAUGUCCGAAUGGGGGAACCCACUAGUUAAUGACUAGUAUCCAUAUCUGUUAAGGAUAUGAGAAGGAAGACGCAGUGAACUGAAACAUCUAAGUAGCUGCAGGAAGAGAAAGCAAAAGCGAUUGCCUUAGUAGCGGCGAGCGAAACGGCAGGAGGGCAAACCGAAGUGUUUACACUUCGGGGUUGUAGGACUGCGAUAUAGGAUUAAUCAUUAUAGAAGAAUUACCUGGGAAGGUAAGCCAAAGAGAGUAACAGCCUCGUAUUUAAAAUGAUAGAUUAACCUUAGCAGUAUCCUGAGUACGGCGAGACACGCGAAAUCUCGUCGGAAUCUGGGAGGACCAUCUCCCAACCCUAAAUACUCUCUAGUGACCGAUAGUGAACCAGUACCGUGAGGGAAAGGUGAAAAGCACCCCGGGAGGGGAGUGAAAUAGAACCUGAAACCGUGUGCCUACAACAAGUUCGAGCCCGUUAAUGGGUGAGAGCGUGCCUUUUGUAGAAUGAACCGGCGAGUUACGAUAUGAUGCGAGGUUAAGUUGAAGAGACGGAGCCGUAGGGAAACCGAGUCUUAAUAGGGCGCCAUAGUAUCAUGUUGUAGACCCGAAACCAUGUGACCUACCCAUGAGCAGGUUGAAGGUGAGGUAAAACUCACUGGAGGACCGAACCAGGGCACGUUGAAAAGUGCUUGGAUGACUUGUGGGUAGCGGAGAAAUUCCAAACGAACUUGGAGAUAGCUGGUUCUCUCCGAAAUAGCUUUAGGGCUAGCGUCGAUGUUAAGUCUCUUGGAGGUAGAGCACUGUUUGGGUGAGGGGUCCAUCCCGGAUUACCAAUCUCAGAUAAACUCCGAAUGCCAACGAGAUAUAAUCGGCAGUCAGACUGCGAGUGCUAAGAUCCGUAGUCGAAAGGGAAACAGCCCAGACCACCAGCUAAGGUCCCAAAAUAUAUGUUAAGUGGAAAAGGAUGUGGGGUUGCACAGACAACUACACAAAAGUGUCAUGGUAGGAGAGCGUUCUAUGUGUGAAGAAGGUGUACCGUGAGGAGCGCUGGAACGCAUAGAAGUGAGAAUGCCGGUAUGAGUAGCGCAAGACAGGUGAGAAUCCUGUCCACCGUAAGACUAAGGUUUCCAGGGGAAGGCUCGUCCGCCCUGGGUUAGUCGGGACCUAAGGAGAGACCGAAAGGUGUAUCCGAUGGACAACAGGUUGAUAUUCCUGUACUAGAGUAUAUAGUGAUGGAGGGACGCAGUAGGCUAACUAAACCAGACGAUUGGAAGUGUCUGGUCAAACAGUGAGGUGUGAUAUGAGUCAAAUGCUUAUAUCUUUAACAUUGAGCUGUGACGAGGAGCGAAGUUUAGUAGCGAAGUUAGUGAUGUCACACUGCCAAGAAAAGCUUCUAGCGAUACAUAUACUCUACCCGUACCGCAAACCGACACAGGUAGUCGAGGCGAGUAGCCUCAGGUGAGCGAGAGAACUCUCGUUAAGGAACUCGGCAAAAUGGCCCCGUAACUUCGGGAGAAGGGGCGCUGAUUUUAGAUCAGCCGCAGUGAAUAGGCCCAAGCAACUGUUUAUCAAAAACACAGCUCUCUGCUAAAUCGUAAGAUGAUGUAUAGGGGGUGACGCCUGCCCGGUGCUGGAAGGUUAAGAGGAGUGCUUAGCGUAAGCGAAGGUAUGAAUUGAAGCCCCAGUAAACGGCGGCCGUAACUAUAACGGUCCUAAGGUAGCGAAAUUCCUUGUCGGGUAAGUUCCGACCCGCACGAAAGGCGUAAUGAUUUGGGCACUGUCUCAACGAGAGACUCGGUGAAAUUUUAGUACCUGUGAAGAUGCAGGUUACCCGCGACAGGACGGAAAGACCCCAUGGAGCUUUACUGCAGUUUGAUAUUGAGUAUCUGUACCACAUGUACAGGAUAGGUAGGAGCCUAUGAUAACGGGACGCCAGUUUCGUUUGAGGCGUUGUUGGGAUACUACCCUUGUGUUAUGGCUACUCUAACCCAGAUAGGCAAUCCCUAUCGGAGACAGUGUCUGACGGGCAGUUUGACUGGGGCGGUCGCCUCCUAAAAGGUAACGGAGGCGCCCAAAGGUUCCCUCAGACUGGUUGGAAAUCAGUCGUAGAGUGUAAAGGUAUAAGGGAGCUUGACUGCGAGAGCUACAACUCGAGCAGGGACGAAAGUCGGGCUUAGUGAUCCGGUGGUUCCGUAUGGAAGGGCCAUCGCUCAACGGAUAAAAGCUACCCUGGGGAUAACAGGCUUAUCUCCCCCAAGAGUUCACAUCGACGGGGAGGUUUGGCACCUCGAUGUCGGCUCGUCGCAUCCUGGGGCUGUAGUCGGUCCCAAGGGUUGGGCUGUUCGCCCAUUAAAGCGGCACGCGAGCUGGGUUCAGAACGUCGUGAGACAGUUCGGUCCCUAUCCGUCGCGGGCGUAGGAAAUUUGAGAGGAUCUGCUCCUAGUACGAGAGGACCAGAGUGGACUUACCGCUGGUGUACCAGUUGUCUUGCCAAAGGCAUCGCUGGGUAGCUAUGUAGGGAAGGGAUAAGCGCUGAAAGCAUCUAAGUGCGAAGCCCACCUCAAGAUGAGAUUUCCCAUGAUUUUAUAUCAGUAAGAGCCCUGAGAGAUGAUCAGGUAGAUAGGUUAGGAGUGUAAUUGUGGUGACACAUUUAGCGGACUAAUACUAAUAGCUCGAGGACUUAUCCAAAA
Molecule: ribosomal RNA, 2791 nt
Filed under: Streptococcus agalactiae
Lineage: Bacteria; Bacillati; Bacillota; Bacilli; Lactobacillales; Streptococcaceae
Description: bacterial LSU rRNA
Rfam family: Bacterial large subunit ribosomal RNA
Source: RNAcentral